RNAcentral lists this ribosomal RNA (492 nucleotides) under uncultured bacterium. RNAcentral describes it as "partial 16S ribosomal RNA". It matches the Rfam family "Bacterial small subunit ribosomal RNA", at positions 29 to 507 of the family's 1533-position model. The record is from RNAcentral.
AGUGAACGCUGGCGGUAUGCCUAACACAUGCAAGUCGAACGGCAGCACACUAAUUGCUUGCUCUUACGGUUGCCGAGUGGCGGACGGCUCAUGAAUACUUCGCCAUCUACUUUUUCUUGUGCCUUAACGUAUGUAUACUUACGCUAAUACCUCAUACUUUCUACGUGUUAAUUCAUGGGUUCUUCUGACCUUGCUUGAUUUAAUGAGCCGUUUUCGGAUUAGCUAGUUGGCGGGGUAAAGGCCCACCAAGGCGACGAUCCGUAGCUGGUCUGAGAGGAUGAUCAGCGACAGUGGAAGUGAGACACGGUACAGAGACCGACGGGAGGCAGAAGUGGGGAAUAUUGGAAAAUGGGCGAAAGAAUGAUCAAGCAAUACCGGGUGGGUGAAGAAGGGCUUCGGGUUGGAAAGCGCUUUUGUUGGGAAAGAAAAGAAGCAGGAGAAAAGAAGGAUGUUGUGACGGUACCCAAAGAAUAAGCACCGGCUAACCACGUG